GACGAACGCUGGCGGCGUGCUUAACACAUGCAAGUCGAACGGUGAAGCGCCUUCCUUUUUGGUGGGUGUGGAUGAGUGGCGAACGGGUGAGUAACACGUGAGUAACCUGCCCCCUUCUUCUGGAUAACCGCAUGAAAGUGUGGCUAAUACGGGAUAUUCUGGGUCUGUCGCAUGAUGGGUCUGGGAAAGAUAUUGUUUCGGUGGGGGAUGGGCUCGCGGCCUAUCAGCUUGUUGGUGGGGUGAUGGCCUACCAAGGCGGUGACGGGUAGCCGGCCUGAGAGGGUGGACGGUCACACUGGGACAGAGACACGGCCCAGACUCCUACGGGAGGCAGCAGUGGGGAAUAUGGCACAAUGGGCGCAAGCGUGAUGCAGCGGCGCCGCGGGAGGGAUGGAGGCCUUCGGGUUGUGAACCUCUUUGGCCAGUGAAGCAGGCCUGCCUCGUUUGUGGGUGGGUUGACGGUAGCUGGAUAAGAAGCGCCGGCUAACUACGUG
Molecule: ribosomal RNA, 494 nt
Filed under: uncultured bacterium
Lineage: Bacteria
Description: partial 16S ribosomal RNA
Rfam family: Bacterial small subunit ribosomal RNA
Source: RNAcentral